RNAcentral lists this long non-coding RNA (535 nucleotides) under Ananas comosus (pineapple). RNAcentral describes it as "long non-coding RNA (ACOM_LNC028505)". The record is from RNAcentral. Lineage: Eukaryota; Viridiplantae; Streptophyta; Magnoliopsida; Poales; Bromeliaceae.
CUGACCGUCCCUUGUCCUAAAUGGCAGAAGCUUGGUGAUUGGUACUUGAGAUUUUAAAUUCAAAUUUUACUUGAUUUAUAUUUUCAGUUUUGUUUAUUUCUAAAAAUUAAAUUAUAUAAAAUUUUUCUGUCAAAAUCUGAUUUUUUUCUUUUUUCUUCUUGUCAUUUAGAAACCUACACUUUGCCCCCUUAUAAAAUAAAAAAAUACUCACUUUGCCCCCUGUCGUUAAAGAAGAAUUAAAUAAAUUUUAAAUUAAAAUAUAGAUUCACAGUAAAUAUUUUUCGGUUGGCAAAAAUUUGGAUAAGCAUAAAUUUUUUUCUGUUGUAGAGAUAAAAAUGAAUUAAAAGUUUGUUUAAUUCUGUUAUUUAUUUUACGUAAGGAAAGAUGAAUCAAUUUUUUUCGCUAAAAAAUGGGUCCGUCGACAGACCGAAAUUUAAAAUACGUACUUUUAUAUAUAGUAUAGAUUUAUAUAUAUAAAUAAAUAAUUAUAUAUAUAAUAUAAAUUUUUAUUAUUUGGUUUUAACUUAAUCUAAAU